This 242-nucleotide long non-coding RNA is filed under the name Lathyrus oleraceus (garden pea). RNAcentral's name for it is "Pisum sativum (pea) long non-coding RNA (PSAT_LNC038195)". The record is from RNAcentral. Lineage: Eukaryota; Viridiplantae; Streptophyta; Magnoliopsida; Fabales; Fabaceae.
ACACCUUUCCCGUCAAUGGAAUUUCAACCGAGAGAUAAAGUGACGCAUUUUUAAUGACGUUCUUCAUUACCUCGCAUAUAAAAUCAAGAUAACACAUCAUAUCCAGCCGAGGUUAAAGGUGUUUUUCGUAGUAGUGGUUUUAUAAAAAAAAAUGCAAAAGAUUGAUUUAAAGAAACGUGGUAGAAGUAGAAAUUUAGGCAGCAAAAAAAUGAAAGGCAUAAAGUUAAGAGAUAUAAUUAGAG